GUAGGGAAUAUUGCACAAUGGAGGAAACUCUGAUGCAGCGACGCCGCGUGAGUGAUGAAGGCCUUCGGGUCGUAAAGCUCUGUCGCAGGGGAAUAACACAAUGAAGGUACCCUGUAAGAAAGGAUCGGCUAACUUCGUGCCAGCAGCCGCGGUAAGACGAGGGAUCCUAGCGUUGUUCGGAAUCAUUGGGCGUAAAGCGGAUGUAGGUGGCUAUGUAAGUCAGGUGUGAAAGCCUGGGGCUCAACCCCAGAAGUGCAUUUGAUACUGCGUAGCUUGAGUGUCGGAGAGGUUACUAGAAUUGUUGGUGUAGUGGUGAAAUACGUAGAUAUCAACAGGAAUACCGGAGGCGAAGGCGGGUAACUGGCCGAACACUGACACUGAGAUCCGAAAGCGUGGGGAGCAAACAGGAUUAGAAACCCUAGUAGUCC
This 428-nucleotide ribosomal RNA is filed under the name uncultured bacterium. RNAcentral's name for it is "partial 16S ribosomal RNA". It matches the Rfam family "Bacterial small subunit ribosomal RNA", at positions 354 to 796 of the family's 1533-position model. The record is from RNAcentral.